CAACAAAUCGCAGUCUGCCAUA
This 22-nucleotide non-coding RNA is filed under the name Xenopus tropicalis (tropical clawed frog). The record is from RNAcentral. RNAcentral also lists the same sequence under 5 other names. Lineage: Eukaryota; Metazoa; Chordata; Amphibia; Anura; Pipidae.